CCGCGGUAAUACGUAGGGUGCGAGCGUUAAUCGGAAUUACUGGGCGUAAAGCGUGCGCAGGCGGUUUCUUAAGCCAGACGUGAAAUCCCCGGGCUUAACCUGGGAACUGCGUUUGGAACUGGGAGACUAGAGUGUGUCAGAGGGAGGUGGAAUUCCGCGUGUAGCAGUGAAAUGCGUAGAGAUGCGGAGGAACACCGAUGGCGAAGGCAGCCUCCUGGGAUAACACUGACGCUCAUGCACGAAAGCGUGG
This 250-nucleotide ribosomal RNA is filed under the name uncultured bacterium. RNAcentral's name for it is "partial 16S ribosomal RNA". It matches the Rfam family "Bacterial small subunit ribosomal RNA", at positions 515 to 764 of the family's 1533-position model. The record is from RNAcentral.